UUGGUGUAUAGAACCAAGCUAACCAAGUUGUUUAUAACUCUCCCUUUCGUCCUCUAACUAAUCCAAAACAAUGUGUUUGUUUCCUCAGUGAUCAUCACCACUUUCAGAAAGAACAACAAGUACUUAACCUGAAUGCUCACGAUGGCUUUGGGGCUGUGUUCUGGAAUGGUGGUGUUGUUGGUGACCAAGUUUCAUAGUGCUGAGAUUUUAAUAUUCAGUGAAGACUUGUUCUUUCUUUACUUGCUUCCCCCAAUCACUUUCAAUGCCGGUUCCAAGUCAAGAAGAAACAGUUCUUCAAGAAUUUCACAACUAUACUGCUCUUUGGAGUCGUUGGAACAGUUGUUUCAUUCUGUCUGAUAUCUGUUGGUGCCCUUCUGCUUAUUCAGAGGAUUGGCAUAUCUAACCUUGACAUAAAAGAUUACCUAGGUGAGAAAUAGUUUUUGGUUUACAGAAAUCUCACUCUCUGUCUCUUAAUCUAAUCAUCACUUUUCCUUCUACAUGUGAAGCAAUCGGUGUCAUAUUGUCAGCAACGGACUCAGUUUGUACACUGCAGGUGCAAGUAUACAAAUAUGUAUUUCAAAUUUACUAUACCAGAGAA
Molecule: long non-coding RNA, 598 nt
Organism: Glycine soja
Lineage: Eukaryota; Viridiplantae; Streptophyta; Magnoliopsida; Fabales; Fabaceae
Exons: 4
Source: RefSeq, a predicted model, not a curated record